Molecule: ribosomal RNA, 549 nt
Filed under: Triticum aestivum (bread wheat)
Lineage: Eukaryota; Viridiplantae; Streptophyta; Magnoliopsida; Poales; Poaceae
Description: partial small subunit ribosomal RNA
Source: RNAcentral
AUGACAGAUCAUAGUGAUGAAAGGGUACCAAAGCUUGGCAUGACAUUUUUGUCUCAAGAGGAAGCUUAUUUAUUUUAUAACAAGUAUGCUGAAACUAUCGGUCUCAGCAUCAGAAGAAGUAGUGGCCAUAAAGUGAAGAACUCUUCUGUAUUCCAGCAACACACAUUUACAUGCUCUCGUCAAGGCCACCGGCAAGAAGAUAAAAGAGAGGACACAUUCAGUUACAGUAGGCCUGAAACACGAUGUGGUUGUACUGCUCCUAUGAAGAUAAGCCUUAAAAAUGGUUUUUAUUAUGUGUAUGAAUUUGAGGCAUCACAUAACCACACUCUUGCUCAUGGAAUCAUGGCCCAGUACUUGAGAUCCUACAGAAAAGUAACAGAAGCACAUAUAGCAAAUGCUGAGGUUGCAAAGUCAGUAGGCAUUUCAAAUAAAGCAACAUUCGAUUUGAUGGCCAAGGAAGCAUGUGGAAGUGAAAACCUUGGCUUUAUACGUGAAGAUUUGAAAAAUUGUUUGUACUCAGAGAGAAUAAUAAAAAUCAAAGCAUGGUGA